UGGGGAAUAUUGGACAAUGUGCGCAAGCCUGAUCCAGCCAUGCCGCGUGUGUGAAGAAGGCCUUUUGGUUGUAAAGCACUUUAAGCGAGGAGGAGGCUACUUGGAUUAAUACUCUAGGAUAGUGGACGUUACUCGCAGAAUAAGCACCGGCUAACUCUGUGCCAGCAGCCGCGGUAAUACAGAGGGUGCGAGCGUUAAUCGGAUUUACUGGGCGUAAAGCGUGCGUAGGCGGCUUCUUAAGUCGGAUGUGAAAUCCCUGAGCUUAACUUAGGAAUUGCAUUCGAUACUGGGAAGCUAGAAUAUGGGAGAGGAUGGUAGAAUUCCAGGUGUAGCGGUGAAAUGCGUAGAGAUCUGGGGGAAUACCGAUGGCGAAGGCAGCCAUGUGGCCUAAUACUGACGCUGAGGUACGAAAGCAUGGGGAGCAAACAGG
This 430-nucleotide ribosomal RNA is filed under the name Acidobacteriota bacterium. RNAcentral describes it as "Acidobacteria bacterium partial 16S ribosomal RNA". It matches the Rfam family "Bacterial small subunit ribosomal RNA", at positions 355 to 776 of the family's 1533-position model. Lineage: Bacteria; Pseudomonadati; Acidobacteriota. The record is from RNAcentral.